GGAAGGUGUGUGUAAAGUAAGAUGUCUCUUAAAGACUAUUUCAAAUAAGACCCCAAGGAGUGGGUCAGUUUUAUAAGGAAAGAGAGGAGUAAGAUCUUGCGUGUCUGGACAGGGAGCACAGCAUACGUGAAACUCUUGAAAUAGACAGUGUGCUUGCGGUGAUGGAAGAGUUGCAGGCCAGAGGGAGAGGCAGACAGCAGAUGGCCAAGUCAACAGGCCCCUGUAGGCUGAAGUGAAGCAUGUAAGAAUCUGUUAGACUUAAGAUGUGAGAGAGAGUGUGAGUGUAUGUGUGUAGGGGACAACGUUAUCUCCAAUAAAAACGACACAGAGCUGUGCGGAUCUGGAUCAGAGGUGCCAAGGCAGGGCCACGGAGGGACAAGUAAGGGAGCUGUUGCUAGAAUCAUGUAAAGAACUGGACACUGCGGGAAACUGGGCAUCCAGGAGAUACAGUCAAAACGGUGCUCGAAGGCAUGUCACCAAGCAACAGACUAGAUAAAGAAGGAGACUGGGAAUGACAGCACUGUGAGCCACAUCAGCAAGCAAAUACUGCAGGACACUGGAGGGGUAAGAGGUCUGCCCCCAGGUGGCUGAAAACAACUGUGUCCCUCAUCUGCAUCUCUCCAUUGGAUGCAUUUGUGCGCAGUCAUCCACGCCACUCUGGUCUCUCUCUUUUUCGGCUCAUAAUGUAGGUGACAGGGCUGGCAUCUCAGAACAACUCUUACCUGUGCUCUGUGCUAGACUGUGGUGUUUCUCACCCUCAGCACCAGUGACAUGCGGGGCUGGGUCAUUCUUUGCAGUGGGGGCUGUCCCCCACAAUGUGGAGUCAUUGGAGGAUGUUUAGCAGCAUCUCUGGCCUCUACUGAGUGGAUGCCAGUAGCAUCCCCACAAUUGUGACGAAAUGUUGUGAUAUUACCAAAUGUUCUCAGGGGAGCAAAAUCACCCCUGGUGAGAACCUGGAUGAAUAGUAUGGAUCCCCAUCCUAUUCUGUGGCAUUUUUCUCCAUCAACCUGGAAGCUCAUAGCCUCUCAUUCAACUGGACGAAGACUUGUUGAGUGCCACCCUUUGAGGGACUGCAGGUCUCCUUCUCAACCUAAUGACAAGACAUAGAUGGCCAUCUCUGCUAUUUAUUCACUUUUCCCGUGGUCUCUGCUCCAUGAAGAUGCAAGCGUCUCUCCCAUGGAAGACAGCAGAGGGACACUGCCCCUCCUCUGGCAUUUUAAACCUGCAUUGAAUAGUUUGUCAGGUUUUGUUUAG
RNAcentral lists this long non-coding RNA (1254 nucleotides) under Equus asinus (donkey). Its description in RNAcentral is "lncRNA (ENSEASG00005029869.1)". Lineage: Eukaryota; Metazoa; Chordata; Mammalia; Perissodactyla; Equidae. The record is from RNAcentral.